This 450-nucleotide ribosomal RNA is filed under the name uncultured bacterium. RNAcentral's name for it is "partial 16S ribosomal RNA". It matches the Rfam family "Bacterial small subunit ribosomal RNA", at positions 354 to 796 of the family's 1533-position model. The record is from RNAcentral.
GUGGGGAAUCUUCCGCAAUGGACGAAAGUCUGACGGAGCAACGCCGCGUGAGUGAUGAAGGUCUUCGGAUUGUAAAGCUCUGUUAAUCGGGACGAAAGAGCCUAGUGUGAAUAAUGCUAGGAAGUGACGGUACCGGAAUAGAAAGCCACGGCUAACUACGUGCCAGCAGCCGCGGUAAUACGUAGGUGGCAAGCGUUGUCCGGAAUUAUUGGGCGUCAAGCGCGCGCAGGCGGAUCUGCCAGUCUGUCUUAAAAGUUCGGGGCUUAACCCCGUGAUGGGAUGGAAACUACAGAUCUAGAGUAUCGGAGAGGAAAGUGGAAUUCCUAGUGUAGCGGUGAAAUGCGUAGAUAUUAGGAAGAACACCAGUGGCGAAGGCGACUUUCUGGACGAAAACUGACGCUGAGGCGCGAAAGCCAGGGGAGCGAACGGGAUUAGAAACCCGUGUAGUCC